UGGGGAAUUUUGGACAAUGGGCGCAAGCCUGAUCCAGCAAUGCCGCGUGCAGGAUGAAGGCCUUCGGGUUGUAAACUGCUUUUGUACGGAACGAAACGGUCUGCCCUAAUACGGUGGGCUAAUGACGGUACCGUAAGAAUAAGCACCGGCUAACUACGUGCCAGCAGCCGCGGUAAUACGUAGGGUGCGAGCGUUAAUCGGAAUUACUGGGCGUAAAGCGUGCGCAGGCGGUUAUGUAAGACAGAUGUGAAAUCCCCGGGCUCAACCUGGGACCUGCAUUUGUGACUGCAUAGCUAGAGUACGGUAGAGGGGGAUGGAAUUCCGCGUGUAGCAGUGAAAUGCGUAGAUAUGCGGAGGAACACCGAUGGCGAAGGCAAUCCCCUGGACCUGUACUGACGCUCAUGCACGAAAGCGUGGGGAGCAAACAGGAUUAGAUACCCUGGUAGUCCACGCCCUAAACGAUGUCAACUGGUUGUUGGGUCUUCACUGACUCAGUAACGAAGCUAACGCGUGAAGUUGACCGCCUGGGGAGUACGGCCGCAAGGUUG
This 548-nucleotide ribosomal RNA is filed under the name uncultured beta proteobacterium. RNAcentral describes it as "bacterial SSU rRNA". It matches the Rfam family "Bacterial small subunit ribosomal RNA", at positions 355 to 896 of the family's 1533-position model. The record is from RNAcentral. RNAcentral also lists the same sequence under 1 other name. Lineage: Bacteria; Pseudomonadati; Pseudomonadota; Betaproteobacteria.